GGGGUGCGACACGAGGACUUCCCAGGAGGUCACCCAUCCUAGUACAACUCUCGCCCAAGCACACUUAACUGCGGAGUUCUGA
Molecule: ribosomal RNA, 82 nt
Filed under: Arabis alpina (gray rockcress)
Lineage: Eukaryota; Viridiplantae; Streptophyta; Magnoliopsida; Brassicales; Brassicaceae
Description: rRNA ENSRNAG00050207415
Source: RNAcentral